GACAGAGGGUGCUAGCGUUGUUCGGAAUUACUGGGCGUAAAGGGCGCGUAGGCGGUCUGUUAAGUUCGGUGUGAAAGCCCCUGGCUCAACUGGGGAACUGCGCUGGAAACUGGCAGACUCGAGUACCGGAGAGGAGAGUGGAAUUCCUGGUGUAGCGGUGAAAUGCGUAGAUAUCAGGAGGAACACCGGUGGCGAAGGCGGCUCUCUGGACGGAUACUGACGCUGAGGCGCGAAAGCGUGGGGAUCAAACAGG
This 253-nucleotide ribosomal RNA is filed under the name uncultured bacterium. RNAcentral describes it as "partial 16S ribosomal RNA". It matches the Rfam family "Bacterial small subunit ribosomal RNA", at positions 524 to 776 of the family's 1533-position model. The record is from RNAcentral.